Molecule: long non-coding RNA, 420 nt
Organism: Ruditapes philippinarum (Manila clam)
Lineage: Eukaryota; Metazoa; Mollusca; Bivalvia; Venerida; Veneridae
Exons: 3
Source: RefSeq, a predicted model, not a curated record
AGUCUUUUUUCAAAGGUAUUCUGGAAUUAACGGAUGCAAUUUGGUAAAACUUGGUUUUGACUAGUAGGGCACACCCGCCAUUGUUCGGACCAUCGACAGAAUAACGUUCGUGUUUUUCAGAUUUCUCCAUCCAAGACAUAGAUUUGCUGAUGAAUAACAUCGCAAAGAUCUUGGUGUAUUGUCUUCAUACUUGGCCACAACAACCCUUCAAAUAGACCAGACUAAACUAAAUUAACUUGACCACCAUAUUAACAUUCAAGAAGUUCGGCCUACAUGUCAGAUUUAUGAAUGUGAACAGCAGGAUAUCGAUUUUAAGGAUGCUUUAGGGUCAAUGACAAUGAAAUCACGAGAGAUAAAGGCUAAAAUGUGAGACUGUCAAUCUGACUAACCUUGAAGUGAACAAAUGGAAAAAAUGUCUCU